Molecule: ribosomal RNA, 508 nt
Filed under: uncultured bacterium
Lineage: Bacteria
Description: bacterial SSU rRNA
Rfam family: Bacterial small subunit ribosomal RNA
Source: RNAcentral
GCAGUCGAGCGCCCCGCAAGGGGAGCGGCAGACGGGUGAGUAACGCGUGGGAACGUACCUUUUGCUACGGAAUAACUCAGGGAAACUUGUGCUAAUACCGUAUGUGCCCUUCGGGGGAAAGAUUUAUCGGCAAAGGAUCGGCCCGCGUUGGAUUAGCUAGUUGGUGAGGUAAAGGCUCACCAAGGCGACGAUCCAUAGCUGGUCUGAGAGGAUGAUCAGCCACACUGGGACUGAGACACGGCCCAGACUCCUACGGGAGGCAGCAGUGGGGAAUAUUGGACAAUGGGCGCAAGCCUGAUCCAGCCAUGCCGCGUGAGUGAUGAAGGCCCUAGGGUUGUAAAGCUCUUUCACCGGUGAAGAUAAUGACGGUAACCGGAGAAGAAGCCCCGGCUAACUUCGUGCCAGCAGCCGCGGUAAUACGAAGGGGGCUAGCGUUGUUCGGAUUUACUGGGCGUAAAGCGCACGUAGGCGGACUUUUAAGUCAGGGGUGAAAUCCCGGGGCUCAACC